GUGAGGAAUAUUGCGCAAUGUCCGAAAGGGUGACGCAGCGACGCCGCGUGGAGGAUGAAGGCCCUAUGGGUCGUAAACUCCUUUUGAGAGGGAAGAAUAAUCUUGUAUAGCAAGGCUUGACUGUACCUCUUGAAUAAGCACCGGCCAACUACGUGCCAGCAGCCGCGGUAAUACGUAGGGUGCAAGCGUUGUCCGGAAUCACUGGGUGUAAAGGGAGCGCAGGCGGGUUAGCAAGUCAUUGGUGAAAUCCUGAGGCUUAACUUCAGGUCUGCCAAUGAUACUGCUGAUCUUGAGUGCAGAAGAGGAAGACGGAAUUCCUGGUGUAGCGGUGAAAUGCGUAGAUAUCAGGAAGAACACCGGUGGCGAAGGCGGUCUUCUGGUCUGUUACUGACGCUCAUGCUCGAAAGCGUGGGGAGCAAACAGGAUUAGAAACCCCUGUAGUCC
RNAcentral lists this ribosomal RNA (444 nucleotides) under uncultured bacterium. RNAcentral describes it as "bacterial SSU rRNA". It matches the Rfam family "Bacterial small subunit ribosomal RNA", at positions 354 to 796 of the family's 1533-position model. The record is from RNAcentral.